CACCUACGGGGCGCAGCAGUCGGGAAUAUUGCGCAAUGGAGGAAACUCUGACGCAGUGACGCCGCGUGCAGGAAGAAGGUUUUCGGUAUGUAAAGCUCUAUCAGCAGGGAAGAAAAUGACGGUACCUGACUAAGAAGCCCCGGCUAACUACGUGCCAGCAGCCGCGGUAAUACGUAGGGGGCAAGCGUUAUCCGGAUUUACUGGGUGUAAAGGGAGCGUAGACGGCUGUGCAAGCCAGAUGUGAAAGCCCGGGGCUCAACCCCGGGACUGCAUUUGGAACUGUGUGGCUGGAGUGUCGGAGAGGC
RNAcentral lists this ribosomal RNA (305 nucleotides) under uncultured bacterium. RNAcentral's name for it is "bacterial SSU rRNA". It matches the Rfam family "Bacterial small subunit ribosomal RNA", at positions 335 to 658 of the family's 1533-position model. The record is from RNAcentral.